UCGGACCGUCGCAACUGGCGCUCAGAUGGUCACCAUCGGGGAGCGAUGACAGGGAUUCGGCCGCGCGCCUGGGUCGAUACG
RNAcentral lists this non-coding RNA (81 nucleotides) under Cnuibacter physcomitrellae. RNAcentral describes it as "ZTP sequence". It matches the Rfam family "ZMP/ZTP riboswitch aptamer (pfl RNA motif)". Rfam says of the family: Previously known as pfl RNA. ZMP is also known as AICAR. The record is from Rfam by way of RNAcentral. Lineage: Bacteria; Bacillati; Actinomycetota; Actinomycetes; Micrococcales; Microbacteriaceae.